AAGACUAUAUUUUCAGGGAUCAUUUUUUUAGUUCUUGACUUGAGAAAUGUGUUUCUAAAGUGUUUGAUCUCGCUAACCAUGAUGAUGCGUAGUGAUAUUCUUUUCUGACAGUAAAUCUGAUGGACAGUAAUGAUUAACUUCACAUUCUAUUUGUGAUUGAUGAUUGUUUUUAGCAUCUUCGUGGAGAAUAGAGGAAGGGAAUGUGGUGAGAGUGGG
This is a small nucleolar RNA of Sander lucioperca (pikeperch), 216 nucleotides long. Its record names the gene U3. It matches the Rfam family "Small nucleolar RNA U3". From Rfam's summary of the family: Small nucleolar RNAs (snoRNAs) are involved in the processing and modification of rRNA in the nucleolus. NCBI's taxonomy places the organism in Eukaryota, Metazoa, Chordata, Actinopteri, Perciformes, Percidae. The record is from Ensembl.